Molecule: long non-coding RNA, 668 nt
Filed under: Ficedula albicollis (Collared flycatcher)
Lineage: Eukaryota; Metazoa; Chordata; Aves; Passeriformes; Muscicapidae
Description: lncRNA (ENSFALG00000026168.1)
Source: RNAcentral
CUUGAUAAAGAAUAAUCAGGUCCCAUGAGUUUCUGUGAUGACCUUUUUUUUCUGCUUUCCUAGUGCCAGAAAUGAUCAUUCAACAUUUGAGAAGAGAGACCAGAGAACCUUUAGAGCCCACGCCUGCUGGAGGCUCCACUCUCAGCAUGAGCUGGGUAGCACUUACACCACUUCAGAGACCUGCUUCUGUCUUUCACCAGUGGCAUUUGGAUGCAAUAUACUGUGGAAGUGUGACAGGGAAGAAAACAAACCUGUUCUAUGACUAGUGGUGCUGAACCACAUAUACUAUGGACUCAAGAGCUUGUAUUUUACUUAUGGCUGGCUGACUCCACCUCCAUGCUCCUUGCCAGCUCUCAGUACCUGUACCCUCCAAAGUACUUCCUAAAUGCAAAAGCCACUUUGCUGAUUGCAGAAGAUAAAUCCUUCCUCACCUGCCUCCCCUCUGCAGCUGCCCCUGCAUCCUCAGGGCUGACUCCAUCUCCACCUGUAAAGCUGCUCUGCAAAGGAGCCCCAAGAUGGAGGUAAAAGGGAGCAGAACCUAGAUGUGAACAGCUACAUACAGCAUUUCCUAACUUCUAAACAAUGGACUCCAUAACGGCAGGAGCCUUCCUUUCCAGUCUGCAUGCGUCAGGAUGUUGACUCACGCACAUACACGGACACACAAGGUA